AAUAUCGGAUACUGAAUAUCUUCUAAUCCAGUCUCGUUGACAUUCAAAACAAACCCUGAUUGGUGUUUAAUUUUGUUUGGAUUUCUUUUUUUGUUAAUUGUUUCAAGUUCCUUAUUGAAUAGUUAGCUGUUUAAUAGCUCUUCAAAAUGGUAACAUCAACUAGAGUUUUACGUGCAAUGGAUAGAAGGGACGUUCAUCCUUUAUUACAAGUAAUUAGACAAUGGUUUUAUGGGAGACCAUACAAAGAGCAAACAAGAUGGAGAGAAGAUUUAUCACCAAAGUCUACCUAUCCAUGGAAGCAAGGCGAAGAUAAAAAAUGAAUUUCUAGGAGCCCGAGUCAUAAUUACAGUCAAGAUUCCAAAGUUGUCGCUCUCUGAGAAUUGCUUCACUGUGUAAUUUAAACUAUUUUGGGCAAUGUUAUUUCACCUUUUUCAAUCUACCUUGAUAGAACAUUUUUAGAUUAAAUUAUAAUUGUUGACUGA
This is a long non-coding RNA of Tetranychus urticae (two-spotted spider mite), 482 nucleotides long. RefSeq lists it as uncharacterized. The record is from RefSeq and is a predicted model, not a curated record. Lineage: Eukaryota; Metazoa; Arthropoda; Arachnida; Trombidiformes; Tetranychidae.